Eriocheir sinensis (Chinese mitten crab) is the source of this 417-nucleotide long non-coding RNA. RefSeq lists it as uncharacterized. NCBI's taxonomy places the organism in Eukaryota, Metazoa, Arthropoda, Malacostraca, Decapoda, Varunidae. The transcript is spliced from 5 exons. The record is from RefSeq and is a predicted model, not a curated record.
GGUCAUCCUCCUCCAGUCUCAGUGAACUAUUUUCCCGCUCACACCGUCGCCAUCACCGCCACCAGGAGCCUCAACGCCCCUAUCACUAGCAAGAGGGAGGCAGCCGGGAAGAACCACAAGCCACACAGUGCAGGAAAGAUGCUUCACUAUCGUGUAAGUUUUGCAAAUGUGAAAUAUCAACAUAACGGAGCUUCCAGUAGUGCUGGAUGGAGUUCGGUGUGCAGCGUGAGCCCAGCAAAGGCUUCACUUCAAGCAUAAGUUCCGUCGCUUCGCAUCACGGUGAAGGAAGCAGAGCUGAUUAGUGGUGCAGCCGCCCCUCUGACGGCAGCCUUUUAUCGUUGAUUGAAGCCCCGGAGCACAGCGGCAGGAGAGGUUCACGACACUUGCCGGACGAACAGCGCUAAGCAUUAACAGAGG